UACGUAGGGUGCGAGCGUUAAUCGGAAUUACUGGGCGUAAAGCGUGCGCAGGCGGUCUUGUAAGCCAGAUGUGAAAUCCCCGGGCUUAACCUGGGAAUGGCAUUUGGGACUGCAAGGCUGGAGUUUGGCAGAGGAGACUGGAAUUCCUGGUGUAGCAGUGAAAUGCGUAGAUAUCAGGAGGAAUACCGAUGGCGAAGGCAGGUCUCUGGGCUAUAACUGACGCUCAUGCACGAAAGCGUGGGGAGCAAACAGG
RNAcentral lists this ribosomal RNA (253 nucleotides) under uncultured bacterium. RNAcentral's name for it is "partial 16S ribosomal RNA". It matches the Rfam family "Bacterial small subunit ribosomal RNA", at positions 524 to 776 of the family's 1533-position model. The record is from RNAcentral.